RNAcentral lists this small RNA (837 nucleotides) under Pongo abelii (Sumatran orangutan). RNAcentral's name for it is "processed transcript". Lineage: Eukaryota; Metazoa; Chordata; Mammalia; Primates; Hominidae. The record is from RNAcentral.
UUUUGAGACCAGACGACUGGACUCACCUCUUCCAACUCAAGUACCAGUCAGUGGCCCAGACCUGGAGGGCAAGCACCUUCAUCCCCAAGCUAUGAAAAUUCACUCCACUCCCUGAAAAAUCGAGUUGAGCAGCAACUUCACGAGCAUUUGCAAGAUGCAAUGUCCUUCUUAAAGGAUGUCUGUGAGCAGUCUCGAAUGGAGGAUCGUUUAGACAGACUGGAUGAUGCAAUCCAUGUGCUGCGGAACCAUGCUGUGGGACCUUCCACCAGUUUGCCUGCUGGUCACAGUGAUAUACACAGUUUAUUGGGACCAUCCCAUAAUGCACCAAUUGGAAGCCUCAACUCAAACUAUGGAGGAUCAAGCCUUGUUGCAAGCAGUCGAUCAGCUUCAAUGGUUGGAACUCAUCGGGAAGAUUCUGUCAGUCUUAAUGGCAAUCAUUCAGUCCUGUCUAGUACAGUCACUACGUCAAGCACAGACCUGAACCAUAAAACACAGGAAAAUUAUAGAGGUGGCUUGCAAAGUCAGUCUGGAACUGUUGUUACAACAGAAAUCAAGACUGAAAACAAAGAAAAGGAUGAAAACCUUCAUGAACCUCCUUCAUCAGAUGACAUGAAGUCAGAUGAUGAAUCCUCCCAAAAAGAUAUCAAGGUUUCAUCUAGAGGCAGAACAAGUACUAAUGAAGAUGAGGAUUUGAACCCUGAACAGAAAAUAGAAAGGGAGAAGGAGAGGCGGAUGGCUAACAAUGCCAGAGAACGCUUACGCGUGCGGGAUAUUAAUGAAGCAUUCAAAGAGCUUGGCCGAAUGUGUCAGCUUCACUUGAAGAGUGAAAAACCCCAA